Long non-coding RNA from Bolinopsis microptera, 841 nucleotides. RefSeq lists it as uncharacterized. The record is from RefSeq and is a predicted model, not a curated record. The transcript is spliced from 5 exons. Lineage: Eukaryota; Metazoa; Ctenophora; Tentaculata; Lobata; Bolinopsidae.
ACUCCUUUUAUAAAAGCAGACGAGAGUUCCUGAAGCUUAUUAGAAACCCUCGUCAUGAAGCGGAUCAGAUUCUUCUUGAAGACAACAACACGCUUUUUAGGAUACCUAAUAAGCUUAUAGACGACGAAAUGAAGAUAAUGAGAAGCAAGAAGAUUCCUGUUCCAGACCAAUGUAACCGGAAUGCACGAGACUAUGAUCUUGCAGUCAUCAAAAUCCAUAUAAUGCAUUUUACAGAGUAGAGUAAAAGAUUGCAAUCCUGGAUUGCGAACAAGUUAUGAACAAGAAAACGAUUUGAGGUCCACUCCUUUAAAAGCAGACAAGAUUGUUCGGAGCUGAUUACCAACCCUCGUCAUGAAGCGGAUUCGAUUUAUCUCGACGACAACAAGCGUACUAAUACGGACCUAUUAAGUGUGUAUAAUUGUUGUAAACCUGUAAACGAUCCUAAUGUAUCAUACAGACACCGCAAGAAAGAGCUGAUCAUCCUUCGUCCACACGACUACACCAGGGCACCUAUAAUUGAGUUUCUGACUUACAAAGAACAGCUCAGCAGCUGUAAAAAGACUGUAUUCCCGAAGCAAUGAAGCAUCAUGAUGAGCUAGAAAGACUCUGUCACCACAAUCUUGCAAUCACCACAAUCAAUAACUCAAUAAGGAACUUAUAUGUUUGAGCAGCGAUGGAGCGGACUAUUUUGAGCCAAAGUUUGAGACAAUUUUGAGACAAUUUGAGGCUUUCGAUCAAAAAUAGUUUUAAAGCCACAUUUUAGAUUGAAAACAAAAUUUUGAAAUAUUGAAAUUGUGAAUAACCUUAUUGUUAUUAUUUUAAUUUGGGGAAGUAUUUUUUU